CUUAGAGGUUAAGCCCGAUGAACCUGAAUAUCCAUUUAUGAGAAAUUCAUCAUUAUAAACUAUAUUAAUAUUAAUUUACUUAAUAAUUUAUAUAUGUGGAUAGUGUGCAUUUUUCUCAUAUAAGGACAUUGUAAUCUAUUAACAUAAUAAAAUAUUUAUCAAAAGAUCAUUUACUCUUAAGUUUAUUUCAAUUAAUUUGCUUUUUAACGCAUAUUAACAUAAAAUAAAUGUAAAUGAUUUGAUAAAGUGUUGAUUGAUUUAUUAUAUAUAAUGCUUAAAUCUUU
RNAcentral lists this ribosomal RNA (284 nucleotides) under Adramini gen. 1 sp. 1 XC-2018. RNAcentral's name for it is "partial 28S ribosomal RNA". The record is from RNAcentral. Lineage: Eukaryota; Metazoa; Arthropoda; Insecta; Diptera; Tephritidae.